RNAcentral lists this ribosomal RNA (563 nucleotides) under Xylariaceae sp. 1 KK-2015. Its description in RNAcentral is "eukaryotic LSU rRNA". The stretch from base 219 to 372 matches the Rfam family "5.8S ribosomal RNA". The record is from RNAcentral. Lineage: Eukaryota; Fungi; Ascomycota; Sordariomycetes; Xylariales; Xylariaceae.
GGGCUCGCCGGUAAGGUACCUGAGCGCCGCCUACCCCUCGGGGCACGGCGGCGCGAUUACGGUACCGACGUAGGCCUGCGCGGCGCCGAGUAGGACCUUCUCGAACUAUAGCACCCUGUGCAUCCAACCCUUCUUAGAAGGGUCUGAAUCGCCUCAUAAACCUGUGCUGCCCCUAACCGGGUAGUAACUAAACUAAAGUUUUUAACUAAAUACUUUAAAACUUUCAACAACGGAUCUCUUGGUUCUGGCAUCGAUGAAGAACGCAGCGAAAUGCGAUAAGUAAUGUGAAUUGCAGAAUUCAGUGAAUCAUCGAAUCUUUGAACGCACAUUGCGCCCAUUAGUAUUCUAGUGGGCAUGCCUAUUCGAGCGUCAUUACAACCCUUAAGCCCUGUAGCUUAGCGUUGGGAGUCUACGCCCCCCAGGGGCGUAGUUCCUCAAAUACAGUGGCGGAGUUACAGCACACCCCAAGCGCAGUAGUUUAGCUCGCUUCCAGGGAGGCUGUGGCUGCUUGCCGUAAAAACCCCCUAUACUUAUAGUGGUUGACCUCGGAUUAGGUAGGAAUA